CUGGUAACUGAGACCUUUAAGUCAAGUCAUUUUUUACACAUAAACUUUAUCACUUCACUUCACGACACUUAAAUUGUUUUGAUAGUAUUUUUAAUGUAUUUGUAUAUGGGUUUAUAACUGUUCUUGUCUUUUAAUAACUGUUCAAGUGGCGGCGGGCGGGAUGAAGAAUCAAACUUAAUUUUCAGUUCACACAGUUCACUAGCCAACACUAGUCUGUCAAGUAGGAAGGUUUGGCAGUCAAAAAUAAGAUGCUCCAUGGUUCCUUCUUGUGAUUCACAAUGGGGGCACGUAUUACUCGUAAUAAUCCCAAGUCUAGCAAGGUGUGACGGUGCAGUAUUAUGGCCAAAGCGCAAUCUAUUUAACGUAGUGAUAAAGUCUCGGCUGGCUUCUUUCAGUCUAUUGUACCAGGGUCUAACAGGAAAUCGGUCAUCGGAAUUUCCAUUGCAUUUCUAACAUCAACAGCAUUAUUACCAUCAUAUGCGGUUUUAUCAGCUAUUUCAUUGCCAGAGAUGCCUCGGUGAGAUGGUACCCACAGGAACGCAAUUUCGAUAUGCUUAAGCAAUAUUUUGGAUAAUGUUGGGGAAUUGCCACUCAAGAGAUCCUCUCCUGUUGUUAGUCUACUAGAAUUAGUAUUUACAAAAGGUCAAAGAUUAAAGAAGUGAAGCUGUCAGCACAACUUCGUCCUCGACGAAAUCCAUAUUGAACAUGUGGAAUGAUGCUGUUAGAUUCCAUAUACCAAUCUAAACGAUUUUUGAUCAUGUUUUCAAAUAUUUUCCCUAGACAUGAGGAGAGUGAUAUUGGUCUAUAAGAGCUGGCCAACUUUGCAGGUUUAUCUGGUUUGAGUAUUGGAAUGACACAUUGUGUUUUCCAUGACUGUGGAAUACGUUUACAAUGCCAAAGGAGAUUAAGAACAUUAAGAAAUAUUUUUUGCGCAGAUUCAUCUAAAUUUUUAAUAAUACAAUAUGGAAAAUCAUCUAAACCAGGUGUAGUGUCUCUCCGAGAUAUCAAACUCAUGUUAAAUUCUGACCAUGUAAAAGGAUGUAAUAAAAAUUUUGAAUUUAGA
Long non-coding RNA from Helicoverpa armigera (cotton bollworm), 1063 nucleotides. RefSeq lists it as uncharacterized. The record is from RefSeq and is a predicted model, not a curated record. The transcript has 4 exons. NCBI's taxonomy places the organism in Eukaryota, Metazoa, Arthropoda, Insecta, Lepidoptera, Noctuidae.